Molecule: long non-coding RNA, 16745 nt
Filed under: Sorghum bicolor (sorghum)
Lineage: Eukaryota; Viridiplantae; Streptophyta; Magnoliopsida; Poales; Poaceae
Description: long non-coding RNA (SBIC_LNC000065)
Source: RNAcentral
AGCACCGUCAGAGGUGCGCUUGGGGACGGGCUUUAACAUACCAAUGACUUCGAGGGGAUCUGGGAUGUAGCUGAUCAUGGAGAGUGACGCGUUCUUGUGGUCGUAAACGAGGUAGUAGGGCAGAUCACGAAGGUCCUCGCGCUGCAGGAACAGCAUCAUGAUCAUGAGGUCCUGCUCUUCAUCCAUCAGGAUUAUGCUGGCCCUCGCAGUCAUAUUACUGUUCAGGUAGUGCGGCCUGCAGUUUUUUCGGGCACGGCCGUCAAGCUCCGAGUUGAAUCUCUCAUGAGCUUCUGGGCUGAUGCGGAUGGCCAAGGAUGAGCUGACAAGCGGAUCGUCGCCGAGGAGCACGUGGAGACUGAGGCCAUUCAACGCCUCCUUGAUGUUGUCCCCGCAUCCGUAAGCCUUCCUGCAAACGAUCUUAAUCUCAGUCCACCCUUCCCCCGGCCUGCCGAUCAAUUUGCCCGGCCUGCCGAUCAAUUCGCCCGCACGCACUUCGUUGUUGAACACGUAGAUAGGAGCGGGACGCCGGGCAGCAGUCAUGGCAGACGCGCGGCGCGGCGCCGGUGGAGGGGCAGGCGCGCUGCGGGGCGCCGGUGGAGGCAGGUAGGUAGGAGGAUCGAGAGUCCCGGCCGCAAUCAUGGCUUACGCACCGCGAAGCGCAAGCGCCGGUGGAGGAACGAGAGGAAGGGGAAAGGUGAAACCCUAGAUCGGUGUUACUGGUUUGACGAGGGGAUCAGAUCCGGAUGGAACUUGUGGACAAGACUGGGAGGAGGGGAGACGGAUGCGGAUGCGGCACGCAGCUCGACUUCAACUCGCCCAAGCAAUGGUGGAGGGAGGUUCGUUAGAUCGAGUUCACGCGGAUCGUGGGGCUAGUGGACGGUAGAUGUGGUGCCUAAACAAACACCAAGGGAUAAGAACGCUGAACGCGUGAACUCGGUGGACGUUGGACCGGCUGUACUUUUCCUGGGCCAUCGAGCUCGUUUUUGUUUCGCCCACCGGGCUCGCAUGAGUGCAGACGUGCAGUACCGUGCGCAAAUUCAAACAAAGGCCCAGAUGGUGGUUUUUACUUUUUCUUUUUUAAUUAUUUCGAUUGGAUCUUUGAAAAAUCAUAGUAAAUCACAGAAAAUCUAAUUUUAUUGGACUCCACUUAAGUAGAUUCAAAUUUUUUGCUAUAAAGGUUUUGUCUUUUAUUUUUUAUUUAUUUUAGCUAAAUAUUUUAAAAAUCAUAAAAUAUAAAAUCUAAUUUUCUUAGACUCCACAUGAGCAUAUCUAUACAGUAAAUACAUAAUAUACUAUGCUUUAGUAUAGUUUUUUUAUUGUAGCUUUAGAUGUAUGCUUUUCUAUAAUUAAUUGAAAUAAUGCAUAGCUGCAGCUUCUAUAAUUAUUUUGUCAAACUAAAUCAUACAUACAUUAUAUGUUCAUUGUGUAUAUAUACUCAUGUAGAGUCUAAGAAGAUUUUCUAUUUUAUAAAUUUUUCUAUGAUUUACUAUGAUUUUUCCAAAGAUUCAGCCAAAUAAAUAAAAAAAGAAAAGGAAAAAAUCUUUAUAGCAAAAACUUUUUACUACAGCAUACCAUAUUAUAUGUUUACUAUGUAGACUAGGUAGUGUGCCCAUGCGUUGCUAUCGGACAACUAAUUUUUUUUACUAAAAACACACGUAUCGCAUAAUAAGAUAACAAUACUAUAAAAAUAUCGACAUUAAAGUAAUAUUUAAUCCAAAAAGCCCUUAAAUGAUUGUGCAUUGUAACGGGAAAACACAAUAAUACGAUAAUAUAUGCAUGAACGUGUGUUAUAGCAUUAUCUAAACAACUACUGCAGUCACGAUGUUUAGAACAUCAGUAUUCCAUAGGUCUUUAUAAAGGUUUUGUAUGAGUUAUCUUUCAUCUAAACUCCUUUUGUGUCUCUGACAAAUUCCGUCGGCCCUCCAACACACAUGAACCCCCUUUUUUACGAAACACGACUACACUACCACCUUAGUGCAAGAUGAGCAAUGACCACAUUCCAUUUUCGACCACCUCAACUUGUGAUGAGUGACGGCCACAUACGAGAUCGACGAGCACAUAGACCAACACUCCGUCCACUGUGACACAUCAAUGCACAUUGCCACACCGGAAUUUGAUGAUGGUAAAGCCAGCAUGUCAGCAUGGUCGUAUUACCACAACACAGUGGGACUGGUCAUGACAUACCAAAUUCAAAAUAAAACACUUAUUCUAAAAUCAUACUCAUUUUCUUGUGCAAUAAAUAGUCUCACCGUUUCAAUUUUUGUUGUAGUAAAUAAAAUCUAAUAAAAUCAAAUACCUUAAAUUCAUUCUAAUAUUCAGACUCUUUAAUAACAUUUCCGUUUAAUUCUGUUCAAUAAGUUUCAUGGUUCACCAAACUACCUGCAACAACUCCCGGGAUGAUAAAAGCAAGAUUUAAGAAUUAAGGCACAUUACGAUGAUACUAUUGAACUUUUCAAAAAACAAGAUUUGGAUCAAAAAUAAUUUCAUGAUAUAGUCUCGUUUCACUUGAUCAGCCUUCUCAUAUUGAAAUUGCAGUUGCAGUGUCCCUCUGUCAAUUUUGUUUUAACAUUUAGGAGUAGAUUCCAGUGCAGGCUAAUUGGCUUGGACUCAGUGUCACCCUGCGGACAAAUUCGCUCUUGUCAGUAGCAAUCGCCAAAAGAUCAUCUCCUGCAAAAUUUAAUUCGAGUCAACAGAAUAAAAUUGAUAGAAUAAACCAUGACAUAUUUCUAUCAAUCAAGUUUGCUUCUUCUUUUCAAGUUUCUCCUUAGCUAGUUGCUUUUUAAAUCCCAAUUCUUAAGUUUCCUUCUCUCGCUCCUUUCUUUGUGCUGCUAGAUGCUCUUGAAAGCUAUAAAUAAUAGAAUCAACAGAAGCAUUGAAGUGCAUCUGUACUAUACCAAACAGGCAUCUGAACCAACAGAACCAUUGUAGUGCAUCUGUAUUUUCGGUUAGGUGAAAUGAUCAGUCUUAACAGCAACACUGAAUACCUUACCCAUGUAAGCUUAGUGAAACCAGGCCUGAGUCUUGACAUCAGUCUGACCAUAAAACCCACAGGAAAUUGGAUUCGGCAUCAAUUCAACAGAAGAUUAUCUAUACAACAUCAGAAACAAUGCAUAAAUUGGAAGCCAACAGGAAUACUAAACAAUGGAUUCUGUCAUCAUAGAAAAGAUCUUCAAAUAAAAAACAAGAAUAUCAGACAAUUGGAAAGUAAGAGUAUUAUACAGGACCAAUCCAUUAGUACUAUCAUUUAUUUGUACUUAGGAGUAUAGCAAUCCUACAAUGCAGAUGGUUAAAUUGCGGCACUACUAAUAAGUAGUAACAUAUCAGACAAUUGGGUCUCAACAGUAUAGCAAUCCUCACCCUGCUCCACAUUCAAAAAUACACUAGCAAUGUAACAAGUACCAUUGCUAGAAUGUAUUUGCGUUGAAUGAGGGCUGAAUUAGUUUUCCAAACACUGACAAAAUACUAGCUGGGGCAAGGUGAUUUCAAACUAUUGAAAGGAGCAUGGUAAUGCUCAAUGCACCAACGCAUUACAUAACCCAGUGUUUUUUAGCUAAUGACAAAUGUAGCACGGUCACAGAUAUGAUAAACUUUUUCUCUCAAACAGACGAGCAUUAUGUAAAUAGAGCAUCAUCAAUAUAUACACCCAUUGAAGGAAAGAAAUUGUUGUGGGUUAUGUUUUUUUACAAGCUCCUGAAAAGAGGAUUGGGGCAGCCUGUAGAUACUUACUAUAAUAAUCAAGUGUUGUCAUGUAUUGUUCAUGACGUCGAUUAACAAGGCUUCCAAACAAUAAGGUUCAUCUAUUGUCAGGUUUGCAGAUCACACCCAAAGAGCAGGGUUAUGCAAUGUACUCAAUUGUACUCACGUGAAAACUGAUAACUGAAUCAUAACCCCCAAAUAGCUCUCUAUUGAGUCAUACUCCCUCCGUCCUAAGAUAGAAGGCGCAACUACUUUUUUCAAUUGUCCAAGGAAACAAGGCGCUUGACUCCUCGGCUCCGCGUUGAGGAAUCACCACCAACAUUACCUAAAGCCAUAUAGCCUGCAAAAACAAAAACAAAAAAACCUAAGCAUCACUCUACAUAAGUCCCAUAUAGAAGAGAGUAACUCUUGUAAUUUAGUGCAUGCCUGUUUAUGAACAUUCUCGAUGUGAGAGUUGAGGAGCUUGACAAAGAGACAGCAGCUUCCUGAAGUGUGUGGUUGCCUUAAGCCGCACGGUGGGGGCGUUGGAGAGGACGACUUGCACCAUCGCCAACAAGCCAUCGAGUUGCACAACCAGACUACAAGAAAAUUAGCCAGGGGGUCCACGGCGGUGCGGAUCUUGUCGACAGAAGGGAGGACUGCGAAGACAACCUUGGCAAUGAAGCUGGCACCGGGAACCAAGCCAGCCACUCCACCUCAUGCCUCCUGACCCUCUCCUAAGAGGAGGGCAACGACGGGAAGGGCAGUAGACCGGGAGUCCAGAGACGUUUUUUUAUUUAAUAAUUUUUAAAUUGGUAGAGAAAAAGAGGCGGCGUGGGAAUCGAUCCUUGGUCACAUGGGACGGAAGUUGCAGGGCCGUCGCACGUUGGUGGACCGACGAAACUAAACAAUAUGUCGCACGAAGAAAUAGUCUUACUUUUGUUCUUUUUUUAGUUGUAGUAGGAGAUCUAUUUAUCUGGAGUCCAAAAAAUUAGAUUUUCUAUUUAAUGAUUUUUUUGUGAUUUACUAUAAUUUUCAAAAUUCAGCCAAAAUAAUUUAAAAAGAAAAAGAAAAAACCAUAGUUACUAUAGCAAAACCACCAUUCAUUCGGAACAGCUCUAGGGAGGUAAAAUGCACGGUUUGGAAAAGUUGAAGAAGAUGGUUUGCCCGGUUUUCGAGUUGAAGGAGGAAAAAUGAAUUUUUGUAAAAGUUGGGGGAGGAAAAGUAGAAUUUUUCCAAAAAACUAUAUUCCUUCUCACAUCUAUGCUUAGACUAUAAGGGUGAGUGCACAUGCAUAUUGUGGACGUCUACAUUGUACUAUGUAAUUCUAGAAAAAAAAAUCUAUGUUUGGGUUGUUGCUUUGUGUCCUAAGCUAAAUUUAACUAAUUCUUAUCAAGUUUCGUUAGACACAAAGCUCGCAUGCGUGACCUAGGGAGCGACAGCGGUGGCGGUGACUGCACGCCCACCCUAGGGGUUUAACUCUGCCGGGGUUUUUCACCGUCAUGAAGAAUUUUGGCCGCGACGCUACCCAUUCCCAUUCCCAUGGCCUGCUUCGGGCUGAUCAAGGGGCCAACCUUGCUUGGCUACCCGACCUUGACAGGAUCAAGAUAGUGUGAUCGUGGUUUGUUGUGUUGGCAUGUGAUGGUGAUAGCGCCGCUAGGGAUUUUGGAGGGGAAAGAUGGUGACAUAGAAGACCUUCACAAGGCUGGAUGCGAUAAGAUCGUAGUGAGAAAGGAAGAAGUGAUGAAGAAGACAACCACUAAUGAUAAGGCGAGCUCCCUCGAGGUCUCGCCUCUCCCAAUGAGUUGCUUAAGUUGGAAAUAUCGCAGAUUCGCAUACUUGCCAACACCGCAAUAGUCGAGGGAAUAAAAAAAUAUUUCGCCUAGUUAAAGUUACAAUGAUGUACAAAUCUAGGCUGAUCCUUGUUAAUUUGAAGUUGAACAUGGCCGUACACCGGCAAAUGGGUAGCUGCAAAACUGCCCAAGUAUCCAGCAACAACAGGUCAACCAACAGAGCACAUGUUAGGACUAUAUUGACCAGCCUAGAUUUUUUUUCAUCAAAUCACCAGCCAACACAAGUGUUUACCUUUUCUGUUAGUUUUUGUGCAAUGUGCUUCUCAAGCAUCUGACCGUAAGCUAGUAAUGAAAGCCAAAUGAAAAAUUAGUUAGGUUUACACCUAUCUAACCAAUCAUUGACCCCAGUUAUUUUAGCAUACUUGCUAGAAAUGGUUUAUAUCCUGCGAGUUCCUCAAACUGACUUUGAAAAAAUGUAACAAGUUGCUCGCUCAAUUUCGCUGAAUAACCCAAAUGCAUGAAUUUUCCGAUAUAACUGCUCUGGCCACAAAGAUUUAAUUUACUAUUUUAUUUUAUAUUUUAUUUACAAUUCAACAGGCAUCCCCAGAUGUGUAACUUUGGUCAUCGAUACAACAACAAAAAAAUACUGAUAUAGACUUUGAAGCAAGAACAUGACUUGAGCAGUCAUCAAAGAUAAUCAAAACGUGACACACACCACAAUGAAUUACAACUCAGUCAUACCAAAUAUAUACCCUUUUAUCAACAAUAACUAUAUGCUAGAUCUUUCAAUUUCCUCAGUGUAACACACUUCAUGGAAAUUUAUAGAGCACCACUAAUAGCACCUGACUCCAAUCCCUAACGGUUUAAGCAAGCAUGUCAACUUGAGCUAUGAAAACACUACUAGUAUGCUCAAAUACGGUCAGAGGAAACUAUGUUAGAACAAGAGGUGUAAACUCCACAAGCAAUUAAGCCCUUGAGAGAUCAGAAAACAUAGUAGUAGUAGUAGUAGUAGUAGUAGUAGUAGUAGUAGUAGUAGUAGUAGUAGUAGUAGUAGUAGUAGUAGUAGUAGUAGUAGUAGUAGUAGUAGUAGUAGUAGUAGUAGUAGUAGUAGUAGUAGUAGUAGUAUGAUUAGCUAGAGGUAAUUUAGGGCGCUGUCUAUAUUAUCCUUACAAAAUUUGAAGGGGUUAGGCAACUUUUAUGAGAAUAAAGAGAGAUACAAAUUUAGAACACAAACAACCCAUUUGUACAGUAAUUCUGUUUUGUUUCCUGUACUAUCUUGCUAGCACGCCUGAACCAAUUUCUGAAAUUGCUCCAACUAUACAACAGAUGGUUCAAGAACUUUUAGAGCUUCUAUAUGCCUUUUUUUUAAAAAAAAUAACAAAUGGACAGGAGAGCUACCUAUUAUAUCAAGAUUCUAUAUACAGUUUCAGAGGCCAAUCUAUGAAAAUCUAUAUGCACCCAACAAUUUCAAUUGUCACACCACAUGCAUCACACCAAGAACAGGCCUAAACAUUCCAAUAUUAACCACAAAAAAAAACAGAUAUAGUUUUCAUUGAUUCAGCUCUUAGCUACAUCCUGAUAUGUAUAUACCAAAACAAAGUUGUAAGCCCAACCUAGCAGAACAGGGCAAUCAUGAACCGUGCGCAUCUAGCUUUCUGCCCCCAUAAAGCCUUGUUCGUUUCAUCCCGAAACCAAGGGGGUUAGAGGGGAUUGAGGGGGAUUUAAUCCCCUACAAGUCAAAAUCUCCCUCAAUCCCCUUCAGUCCUCUCCAACCCCCUUUGGUUUGGUGAAGAACCAAACAACGAAUAAAAGAUAAUUCAUCAAGGUUCUCCAAUUGGUUGACAAUAACAGAUUGAAAUCCAUAACAUGGUUUUUAAUAGUAGCAAAACGACUGCCUUCAAUUCCACCUCCUUUUCGUUGGUGGACCGACGAAACUAAACAAUAUGUCGUACGAAGAAAUAGUCUUACUUUUGUUCUUUUUUUGUUGUAGUAGGAGAUCUAUUUAUUUGGAGUCCAAAAAAUUAGAUUUUCUAUUUAAUGAUUUUUCUGUGAUUUACUAUAGUUUUUCAAAAUUCAGCCAAAAUAAUUUAAAAAGAAAAAGAAAAAACCAUAGUUACUGUAGCAAAACCACCAUUCACUGUAGUAAAACCGCGAUAACUAGGCUAUGUAAUGCUUUUGCAAUUAGUAGUAAUGGUCGUAGUGGUGGCUUAGGAUUUUUUUGGAUUAAUAACAUCAAUGUGUCUUUAUUACCAUAUUUAAACCCUAAACCCUAAACAUGCUAUCCUUUCAAGUUGGUCUUAAACAGGGCUAAUUAAAAUUCUUCCAGCAGAUAAUACGCAAAGCCCAAAGAAGAGAUCGGACAUCAUGGCUUCAUGUAAACAAAAUGCCAUUCACUGCCACUUCACACUCAAAGAAAUUAGUAGAACUUACAGACCUUAUUCAUCAGCACAUCAUCAACCACAACACGGCUAAUUUUCUUGACUAGGUCAUACAGAGCCUUGAUUUCAUUCACAUUAACUACUAAUCUUCUCGAACAGCUCAUAUAGUGUCAUCUUGGGAUGCAUAGUUCAAGAUCUUGUCGGUAUGCAUCAUCAGGAUAUUGCAAGUGUAAAUCCCUACAUCCUAACUGCAAGCUAACUGAUGUGGAGGCUAGCCUGCAAGAAAAAUUCACACAACAUAAAAAUUCCCUCAUUAGGAUUGGAAUUUGAUAUUUUAAGAUUUUCUAAUGACAUCGAAUGGAGACACAAUAUGAAAAUAGUUGUAGUACUCAAAGGGAUUUGCAACUUUAUAGUUGACUACUUUUUUCAUUCAAAAUCAUUUAAUGGUUACAUUCUUUUUUUAAGUUUUCAACAUAGGUGCCUAGGUGGUGUAUUCUAAAACUAUAUGUAUGCUCCGUUGCAGUACUUAGCUUGUUAGUUGACAGAGAGGGUUCACGAAAUAUGUUGACCCCGUGCACAUUAUUUUUUUGUUAGGACAUAUUCUACCAAAUUAGGGGAUGAUGUUCACUGUGAAUGAAGUAGCAGUGGCUGAUGGUUUUGCUGGAAUCAUCACACUCAACCUGGAGUCCAACGACAAGGAUGGUAAUCAAUAUGCAUAUCCACAGCAGCCGUUUCUAGGAACAAUCAUAGCCUGCAGGCGCCGAUGGUUAGAGAACACAAUUUUGGACAACCCAUGGAGACAAUAGGUGUCAUGGACCAAGUAGAAGUUGUAUCAAUUUUAUAAAAAGUUUGCCCUUGGGAGGCAUAUCAGGUGGUGGAUCGACCAUUUUAAUUUUGUUAGUAUAUAUAAAUGCAUUUAUGAGAGCACCAAGGUGAAUGUGUCUAACUACACAUUUAAUUUUUUGUAUAGGUUCAACGUACUCAGAUGCAGGUUGAGACAUUUUUUUUAGAUCACGCUCAGCGUGUAUUUCAUUAAGCAGAAAAAGUUUGAAACAACACAAGUUCCCCAAAGAAAAAAACUCGGCAGGCAAAGCCGAGAACAAACCGAAGCGAACACAGGAAUCACAAAAGCCUCAGCCAGCAGUUGCAAGCAGGGCGCCUAAACCUCUAUAACCGGACGCCGACCAGAAGGAGGCUUCGUCCCAAAUCUUCAGGAACAGAACUAGAGCCGCGGAUGACUCCCCCCGAAACGUGCGCGCGUUCCGCUCCUUCCAAAGAGACCAACCGACGAGAAGAACGAAGGAGUCGAAACCCUUGCGCAGAGCCCUCGGCACGAGCUUCCUGGAAGUCGUCCACCAAUCCAGGGCGCGGCCAAGCGGCAGCUGAAGCGGGUACGCGAGGUGCAGCCUGUCUAUGCACCGAUGCCAGACCUCUCGACUGAAAGCACAGUCCGCCAGAAUGUGGUCCAUAGUCUCCGAGUGCUGAUCACAAACGAUGCAGACAUCGGAGUCCUGCAGCCCAUGCCUGAACCUCCGAUGCCCAGUCCAGCAUCUUCCAUGCAGCGUGAGCCAGAAGAAGUAGUGUACUCUCGGCGGCGCCGCGGUCUUCCAAACCAGCUUCGCCCCAGGCAACGCCACGGAGCCAAAGAACAUGGCCCCAUAAGCCGAGGCAGCUGAAUACUCACCACUCUCGUCGAGUGACCAGGAGAACGUGUCCGGCUCCGCCGAGAGAACCACCUGAUCAAGCAGAUCGCAAAGAGCCGCUACCUCCACCAUCAUCCGAACGAGGCGGCCUCAGACAAGUGGCUGAGCCAUGCAUUAGUUGGCAACGCCUCGGCCACCGUUGCUCUUCUCCUCCUUGGCCUCACCGCCGCAAAGACCAACGGUGCCAGGAAUUGGAUAGAGUUCCCCCGUAUCCAUCUGUCCGUCCAGAAGAGCACAGAUUCUCCGUUGCCUACCUUGACCAGAGUCGCCGCAUGAAAAAGAGCGAGCACCGACGGCUCGGCAGGCGGAACUAGCAUCCCCCUGCGCCUGUCACGCCAAAGCCAUCGCGCUCUAAGAGCUAUUCCGGUUCUCCGUAAAUCAGAGAUGCCCAGCACUCCGAGCUCCUUUGGGCAGCACACGAUCGUCUAGGCGACCCGGCAGCGGCCCCCAGCCACAUUAACAUCCCCCGCCCAGACGAAAGCCCUCCUCAGCUUGUCGAUCUGCUGCAACGCGCAGGUUGAGACAUUGAUUGUUGUUUUUGAUGAAUUGAUAAAGGGCUUGUUAUUUAACAAGUCAGAUAUCCUCCGUACUUGUACCAAUGCCAUGUAAGUUUGUUGGAAAUGCCCCAUUUUGUAGUACACAUUACAUGUUGAGUGGUUCAGCCCAGCUAUUUUCUACGGGGACAUUGUGAAUGCAGGAACCAUUAUUUAUGUCCAUUUUGACACCAUCUUACAAGAUGCACUCUCACUGUUUUUGGCUGACCAAUUUGGAUAUCUGGAUUAUAAGCUCUUGGCAGUUUCAUUAUGGAGUGAUUUCAUGGGUGGGAUGAAUCUGAUGCGCAUGCAGCCUGAUCCAUGAUCUCUCCUCCAGCUUAGAGGUUGGCCCUUGAAGCCCUUCAUUCAAUUGACAACCUAGCUGUCUAGCCAUAAUUUUGAGAAAAAGUUGCCCCCUACUGGACUUCAUUAAAAUUUAAUAACAAUGUUACUUUGGAAAAACGAAAAAAGAAAACAUUUCAAAAAACUUUAGUAGAACGAGAGCAUUUCCAUUCAGAUUAGUUACCACAAGUGCGAUCUGGCGGUUCGAUUAGUUACCAAGUGUCCGGUCUUUCGGAGCUGCAGGCUGCAGCAGCCGCUGUUAAAAUCUCGACAUGCUUCGCACAUAGCAAAUGUGCAUGAACUCGAAGACUGCUAUUCUUUUGACGCAGAACACAGUGAAAGGCAAAAGGGAAGACAAGAGGAAGAGAAUGGAAAGCAAAGGCCGCCUUGGUGGCAGAAGCGAAAGAGCAAGGCUCCGACACCGAUUCCAUCUGGGAGUUCAGAAGUUGGAACACCGACAACCACAAGAUGCGAUAGAGUGCUACAUCUACUGUUUCCGUUGGGAGACUCGUGUAGAGGUUGCAGGCUACAAGUUCGUGUCCGUCUGUCCGAAACACCUUCAUCGUCAGGAGUUCUCUAAGGUGUCUUCAAGAUUCUUUUUUGAGGAAAACUGGUGGGGCCUUAGCCCCGACCUCUGAGAUACACCCAUCUGCAGAAAGUUACAGAACAUGAGGCUACUGAAUAUUACAAAAUUCAGUUUCAAAUAUUUAUAUUUAUAAAGUAUACGACUCUACAAACAUGCAUCAAACAUUCGUUCACCAGAAUUGGAUGGUCUAGUGUCUAUAUAUAAACAUCAAAUGAAUACAGCAUUCUGUUACAUGGGACAACUCAAAAUGUAUUUCACACUUGCAGACCAUGAGUAGGCAGUUUUGUAACAGAAGAUCAGCAAGAUCAUAUUGCAAGGGCCAAUACCUCGACACAUAAAAUAAUUAGUGAACCAUUUAUGCAAAUAUGUGCUUAAGUACAAAGAUAUUCCCAUGAUUCUAUAAAUAACUUCCUAAAAAAAGAUUCUACAAAUAACGGAUGUGCAGUAGUACUAGCACCAAACCUUAGAGAUCGACAAACAUAACAAUGGACAAACUCACAAACAUCUAUAGUGCACCAAGACUAUGAAGUUCACUUAUAGUUGCAUACAUGUUUGUUAAAAAUAAUAGCACAUUUGGGAAAACUUCAAACAUCAUCGAAACCAGCAGUGCAGCACAGAUGUAAGCAGUUUUGCUAAACAAAAUAGCAUACCCUCUCUAUUGAACAGGUUUAUCUAGAAGCAGUAAAACCAACAACCUCACAGUACAACAAAUCUCUCAAACUCACAAAUAAUACAUACUAUAUUCUUUUCUAAUUUCUUAACACAGAUAACAAACAGGAAAAUAAAAGGACCCACAUCAUCUUGUGCAAUAGAAUACAAAUCAUUAUGUCUCAUCUCUUCGUCAACCAUCUUUCCCAUUUUGGCCUAUCAAAUCCCAACUGAGUUCUUGUAUUAGUUGUCAAACAACUUUACAAAGAACAAAGGAACAAAGGACAAACAACAAACUGCUAUGAUUAAUACAUUCAAUGAACAAGCAACAGGUAGAGAAGUCAACAUAGCUCAAGAUGUUAGUUACACAAUUAACAACACAGCCUUUUGUUCCCAAGAAAGUUGGGGUAGGCUAGGAGUUGAAACCAAUAAGCAAUAGCAACCAACUUGACCACUUACAUAAUAAAAAUUGAUCAAAAGGUUAACAUCUCUAGAAGGGAAACAUAUUAAUUAAAACAAGUAAAAAACCAAUAAGCACUAUCUAAAUCACUGUAACAGAGACAUUUUGUUUUUGACCGCAGUGAUAAGCACUAUCUAAAUCACUGUAAAAAACCAAUAACUCACAUUUUUUCAUGGUUGUAUUUGGAUGUGCGAGCAAAAGCAAAAUCCCUAUAUAUUUCUUGCAGAAAGAAUCUUCCAUGUCCCCAAUUUGUCAUGAUGCUGAAAUUCAACUGGCUCCUAGUGCUAGUAGGUAAUAAUGCACAUUUUUGGCAGACAGGUGCCACACCAACCCAUUUCCACCCAAAACCCACUAGAUACUCGAACACUCAAACGGUCUAGUUCUAAUUAUUAUCAUGGAGACAUGGACAACAUUUCAACAAUCAGUCUGAAUCAGAACCAUGACAUAACCAUGCAAGAAAAUACAUUGUAACUAGACAUAUUCCCAAACUAGUAUUCCCUCCAUUACAAAUUGGAAUGGCGGGAGUAUGAUUUAAUAACUCAAGCAACAAACCAUUCCUGGUUCAACUCUGCAAAAUCCUUAGGAGUCUGUCCACAGGAGCAAUCCUCCCAAGGCACAUGCAAAGAACCAUUGCAUAACAUGAAUUGAACAAAUAUAAGGAUUACAAAUCUUGGACGAAAUGAGCAAUCAUAGGUACACACGGAUACACAGUAUCAUAAGAAGAUGAAAUCGACAUAUUGUGGGAAACCGACUCCGACCCAGCAUUUCAAAUUGUGCAUCUUGUGCUUUUGAAAAAGCUUAUCCCAAACAACACUAAAUAAAACAACAUGAUGCUUUUUUCACAAAACUAGCUUAGCUCUGUCCUAGACCCCUAGCUUGCACCAGUUGAGCUUCAAGUACUCUACAUGUAUCAGGUAUACCAAUAAACCAUACUGAAAGAGCAAGCAAAGCGACAAGGGACAUUUUAUGUAUGUUGCCAUGGCUGAUAGGAACUGAAAAAAUUUGAGAAUUUGGUAAUGCACAAACAGAUAUGCUGCCUGGUAAAGCUAGCCCCGACCUGACGACGCUAUGCAGUAAUGAAGUUUUAAUUUGACAGUCAAAAUUAGCAGGGCCAUAUGCAUCAGCAAUUCAGCAUGCUAGUUUAAUUCGCUUCCACCCAAUCUGCUGAUAUAUGUAUCAAACUAAAUACAUUUUUUGCUAUCAAAGAAUUGCUUUAAUAAGCAAUGCCCUGGUGUUGAUAUUUAUAAUACUAGUUAGCAAUCCAACAGGCAUUGAAAUAGGGUAGAGUCCACAAAGAUUUAAUUUACUAUUUUAUUUUAUAUUUUAUUUACAAUUCAACAGGCAUCCCCAGAUGUGUAACUUUGGUCAUCGAUACAACAACAAAAAAAUACUGAUAUAGACUUUGAAGCAAGAACAUGACUUGAGCAGUCAUCAAAGAUAAUCAAAACGUGACACACACCACAAUGAAUUACAACUCAGUCAUACCAAAUAUAUACCCUUUUAUCAACAAUAACUAUAUGCUAGAUCUUUCAAUUUCCUCAGUGUAACACACUUCAUGGAAAUUUAUAGAGCACCACUAAUAGCACCUGACUCCAAUCCCUAACGGUUUAAGCAAGCAUGUCAACUUGAGCUAUGAAAACACUACUAGUAUGCUCAAAUACGGUCAGAGGAAACUAUGUUCGAACAAGAGGUGUAAACUCCACAAGCAAUUAAGCCCUUGAGAGAUCAGAAAACAUAGUAGUAGUAGUAGUAGUAGUAUGAUUAGCUAGAGGUAAUUUAGGGCGCUGUCUAUAUUAUCCUUACAAAUUUUGAAGGGGUUAGGCAACUUUUAUGAGAAUAAAGAGAUACAAAUUUAGAACACAAACAACCCAUUUGUACAGUAAUUCUGUUUUGUUUCCUGUACUAUCUUGCUAGCACGCCUGAACCAAUUUCUGAAAUUGCUCCAACUAUACAACAGAUGGUUCAAGAACUUUUAGAGCUUCUAUAUGCCUUUUUUUUAAAAAAAAAAACAAAUCGACAGGAGAGCUACCUAUUAUAUCAAGAUUCUAUAUACAGUUUCAGAGGCCAAUCUAUGAAAAUCUAUAUGCACCCAACAAUUUCAAUUGUCACACCACAUGCACCACACCAAGAACAAGCGUAAACAUUCCAAUAUUAACCACACACAAAAAAACAGAUAUAGUUUUCAUUGAUUCAGCUCUUAGCUACAUCCUGAUAUGUAUAUACCAAAACAAAGUUGUAAGCCCAACCUAGCAGAACAGGGCAAUCAUGAACCGUGCACAUCUAGCUUUCUGCCCCCAUAAAGCCUUGUUCGUUUCAUCCCGAAACCAAGAGGGUUAGAGGGGAUUGAGGGGGAUUUAAUCCCCUACAAGUCAAAAUCUCCCUCAAUCCCCUUCAGUCCUCUCCAACCCCCUUUGGUUUGGUGAAGAACCAAACAAGGAAUAAAAGAUAAUUCAUCAAGGUUCUCCAAUUGGUUGACAAUAACAGAUUGAAAUCCAUAACAUGGUUUUUAAUAGUAGCAAAACGACUGCCUUAGCACAUAGAAUGAUAUAAGCACAGAGACACCUUUUACGAGAUAGACACAACGCACAAACAACCCCAUUUGUAUUAUAGUUCUGUAUUGUCUUUUUCCUUAUUGCUACUAGUGCAGCCAAACUAAUUUCUGAUGUCUCCCACCAUACAAUAGGUGGUUCAAGAACUUUUUACAGCGUCUAUAUACAAUCUAUGCAGAUGUAUACUCAUCCAAGAAUUUCAGUUGCCAUACCACAUGGAUCACAAAGAAUAAGCCAAAACAUUUCAAUAACCAGAACUCAAUAACAUCACAAUUUUCAUCAAUUGAACUCUUAGAAGCAGUCUGCCAUAUCUGUUUACCAAUAAAAAGUAGUAGUCAGACCGAAACCACAUGAACCACACCCGUCUAGCUUUCUAUCCCCAUAAAAGAAAUCAUGAAGGUUCUCCAAUUCUAAACAAGAAGAUUGGCAUCCAUCCACCAACAUGGUUUAACAAUAACAAAACGACUGGCUCCGCACAUAGAAUAAUAUAAGCACAGGCACAAGUUAACGUUUCACAAAUGCAGCACAAUCAAAAGAUAAGUACCUAAAGACUUGCAAGAAAUUAAGGGGAGUCUUAAACAUCCAUAGCAGAAUGGAAACAAAGCUCGAAAGAAGCUACGAGUACUCAGGAACAUGAACCCAACUACUAAGAGCAAUCUGGCAACAAAAAACCCGGAUCCAGCAGAAGACACGCAACUUUUGCCUUGACACCUGUCACCACGCUCCCUGACUCUUGAUCAGUACAUUGCUGUCAAACAAAAAGACCAAGGACUUAGAUGAUAGCGCUAGCCAUGCUCUUAUGUAGCUAAGAUAAAGGAAAAGCAGGUCACAAAAUCAAGCAAGCAUGAAAAGCAAAGAUCAGAAUGGAACAGUUCAGUAGUAGUAGAACUUACUCCCUGGCGGCGAAAGCAGGACCUGCUACAGGAUGGAGUUCAUCAUACUUCCUCUUGUGUGAAACAUGCUUCCUUUGGAAGAAAUGCGAAGAGAUGGCAACUGUCUCAGUAAAAGAGUGGUGACGAACAGACCCAUGCCAUAGGAGCCUCUUGUUCCAAAUGUCAAAGGUGCAUAUGUGAUACACCGAAGAAACAUCUGAACAAGCGUCAUACAACACAAGGCAGAGGGUACCAUCUGCCAUGAGGACAGGGUACCCCACCUGCGCCUCCGGCAACCCGCCCUCCUUGAAGCCAUCGAACCUCCAGAGCUCUCUGACAGGAAACCUUGCCUCAUUCUUCCACUGCCCCCAAGGCAGUUCCAGAGUCCACAUUGUCACUAAGUCAUCUGCAUUGUGCUCACCACGGCGAAUGCAUACGAACCAGAUUGAGCCCCUGACACAGCCCAUGGUCCGGGACAUCUUCAUCGACUCCUCACAGUCCAACGCAUCCUCCAAGUUAAGCUCGCACCCGACUGGCAACUUGAUGCAGUCAAAACCAAUGACAGAGUCAGUGGUUUGCAGGUCACAGUACAUGAUGGCUUGCGACAGAUCAACCCAAAUACCCUUGCCUUGAAAAGAGAAGGUCAUGUCCGUCAUGAAUCGUUCAUAGACGCUCACCGGCACAUUCCAGCUCACCCUCUUCUUCAUCUCCCAUGCACAAGUCAGGUUUGCCCCCAUCAACAGAGAGAACACGCAGAGAAAGGGCGGCCGGUCGAUGUCAAAAGCCAUGGGCAGACCAUCGUGAGAUUCACGAGCCAUGAGGAACAGCUCAUAAGCACCGUCAGAGGUGCGCUUGGGGACGGGCUUUAACAUACCAAUGACUUCGAGGGGAUCUGGGAUGUAGCUGAUCAUGGAGAGUGACGCGUUCUUGUGGUCGUAAACGAGGUAGUAGGGCAGAUCACGAAGGUCCUCGCGCUGCAGGAACAGCAUCAUGAUCAUGAGGUCCUGCUCUUCAUCCAUCAGGAUUAUGCUGGCCCUCGCAGUCAUAUUACUGUUCAGGUAGUGCGGCCUGCAGUUUUUUCGGGCACGGCCGUCAAGCUCCGAGUUGAAUCUCUCAUGAGCUUCUGGGCUGAUGCGGAUGGCCAAGGAUGAGCUGACAAGCGGAUCGUCGCCGAGGAGCACGUGGAGACUGAGGCCAUUCAACGCC